This 433-nucleotide ribosomal RNA is filed under the name uncultured bacterium. RNAcentral's name for it is "partial 16S ribosomal RNA". It matches the Rfam family "Bacterial small subunit ribosomal RNA", at positions 29 to 507 of the family's 1533-position model. The record is from RNAcentral.
AACGAACGCUGGCGGCAUGCCUAACACAUGCUAGUCGAACGAGACCUUCGGGUCUAGUGGCGCACGGGUGCGUAACGCGUGGGAACCUGCCCUUAGGUUCGGAAUAACUCCCCGAAAGGGGUGCUAAUACCGGAUAAUGUCUUCGGACCAAAGAUUUAUCGCCUUUGGAUGGGCCCGCGUUGGAUUAGCUAGUUGGUAGGGUAAAAGCCUACCAAGGCGACGAUCCAUAGCUGGUCUGAGAGGAUGAUCAGCCACACUGGGACUGAGACACGGCCCAGACUCCUACGGAAGGCAGCAGUGGGGAAUAUUGGACAAGGGGCGAAAGCCUGAUCCAGCAAUGCCGCGUGAGUGAUGAAGGCCUUAGGGUUGUAAAGCUCUUUUACCCGGGAUGAUAAUGACAGUACCGGGAGAAUAAGCUCCGGCUAACUCCGUG